GAGUUGGUAGCUCAGUGAUAGAGUGCAUGCUUUGUAUUUAGGAUGUCCUGGGUUCAAUCCCCAGCUUCUCCA
RNAcentral lists this transfer RNA (72 nucleotides) under Dallia pectoralis (Alaska blackfish). Its description in RNAcentral is "tRNA-Thr". Lineage: Eukaryota; Metazoa; Chordata; Actinopteri; Esociformes; Umbridae. The record is from RNAcentral.